GCCUCGAUGGUGAAAUGGGUAGACACAGCGGACUUAAAAUCCGCCGCUUGCCGAAAGGCGGCAUCCCGGUUCGAGCCCGGGUCGAGGCACCA
This 92-nucleotide transfer RNA is filed under the name Ramlibacter terrae. RNAcentral describes it as "Ramlibacter sp. H242 tRNA-Leu". It matches the Rfam family "tRNA". From Rfam's summary of the family: Transfer RNA (tRNA) molecules are approximately 80 nucleotides in length. Their secondary structure includes four short double-helical elements and three loops (D, anti-codon, and T loops). The record is from RNAcentral. Lineage: Bacteria; Pseudomonadati; Pseudomonadota; Betaproteobacteria; Burkholderiales; Comamonadaceae.